GUACACACCGCCCGUCACACCAUGGGAGUUGGUUCUACCCGAAGGUGGUGCGCUAACCGCAAGGAGGCAGCYGRCCACGGUAGGGSUCAGCGACUGGGGUGAAGUCGUAACAAGGUAGCCGUAGGUGAACCUGCAGAAGGAUCA
Molecule: ribosomal RNA, 144 nt
Filed under: uncultured eukaryote
Lineage: Eukaryota
Description: partial small subunit ribosomal RNA
Source: RNAcentral